CUACGGGAUGCAGCAGUGGGGAAUAUUGGACAAUGGGGGAAACCCUGAUCCAGCAAUGCCGCGUGUGUGAAGAAGGCCUGCGGGUUGUAAAGCACUUUCGGUUGGGAGGACUGCUUCUAGCACUAAUAUUGUUGGAAGUUGACGUUACCUUCAGAAGAAGCACCGGCUAACUCCGUGCCAGCAGGCCGCGGUAAUACGGAGGGUGCAAGCGUUAAUCGGAAUUACUGGGCGUAAAGCGCGCGUAGGCGGCUAGAUCAGCCGGGUGUGAAAGCCCCGGGCUUAACCUGGGAACUGCAUCCGAUACUGUCUAGCUUGAGUACAGGAGAGGAGAGUGGAAUUCCACAUGUAGCGGUGAAAUGCGUAGAUAUGUGGAGGAACACCAAUGGCGAAGGCAGCUCUCUGGCCUGAUACUGACGCUGAGGUGCGAAAGCGUGGGGAGCAAACAGGAUUAGAUACCCCUGUAGUC
This 466-nucleotide ribosomal RNA is filed under the name uncultured bacterium. RNAcentral's name for it is "partial 16S ribosomal RNA". It matches the Rfam family "Bacterial small subunit ribosomal RNA", at positions 339 to 795 of the family's 1533-position model. The record is from RNAcentral.